GUAUACAACCUACCUUGUACAGGGGGAUAGCCUUUAGAAAUGAAGAUUAAUACCCCAUAAUAUUAUUGGAUCGCCUGGUUUGAUAAUUAAAGGUUACGGUACAAGAUGGGUAUGCGUCCUAUUAGCUAGAUGGUGUGGUAACGGCAUACCAUGGCAACGAUAGGUAGGGGCCCUGAGAGGGGGAUCCCCCACACUGGUACUGAGACACGGACCAGACUCCUACGGGAGGCAGCAGUGAGGAAUAUUGGACAAUGGAGGGAACUCUGAUCCAGCCAUGCCGCGUGCAGGAAGACUGCCCUAUGGGUUGUAAACUGCUUUUAUACAGGAAGAAACAGUGGUACGUGUACCACCUUGACGGUACUGUAAGAAUAAGGAUCGGCUAACUCCGUGCCAGCAGCCGCGGUAAUACGGAGGAUCCAAGCGUUAUCCGGAAUCAUUGGGUUUAAAGGGUCCGUAGUGGACUGGUCAGUCAGAGGUGAAAUCCUGCAGCUCAACUGUAGAACUGCCUUUGAUACUGCUAGUCUUGAAUCAUUAUGAAGUGGUUAGAAUAUGUAGUGUAGCGGUGAAAUGCAUAGAUAUUACAUAGAAUACCAAUUGCGAAGCAGAUCACUAAUAAUGUAUUGACACUGAUGG
Molecule: ribosomal RNA, 633 nt
Filed under: uncultured bacterium
Lineage: Bacteria
Description: bacterial SSU rRNA
Rfam family: Bacterial small subunit ribosomal RNA
Source: RNAcentral